Molecule: ribosomal RNA, 253 nt
Filed under: uncultured bacterium
Lineage: Bacteria
Description: partial 16S ribosomal RNA
Rfam family: Bacterial small subunit ribosomal RNA
Source: RNAcentral
UACGGAGGGUGCGAGCGUUGUUCGGAAUCACUGGGCGUAAAGCGCGUGUAGGCGGCCCUGCAAGUCGGAUGUGAAAUCCCACGGCUCAACCGUGGAAGUGCAUUCGAAACUGCAGGGCUAGAGUCCUGGAGAGGAAGGUGGAAUGCUUGGUGUAGAGGUGAAAUUCGUAGAUAUCAAGCGGAACACCGGUGGCGAAGGCGGCCUUCUGGACAGUGACUGACGCUGAGACGCGAAAGCGCGGGGAGCAAACAGG